GUGUUCGAAAGGGAAACAGCCCAGACCACCAGCUAAGGUCCCAAAAUAUAUGUUAAGUGGAAAAGGAUGUGGCGUUGCCCAGACAACUAGGAUGUUGGCUUAGAAGCAGCCAUCAUUUAAAGAGUGCGUAAUAGCUCACUAGUCGAGUGACACUGCGCCGAAAAUGUACCGGGGCUAAACAUAUUACCGAAGCUGUGGAUUGUCCUUUGGACAAUGGUAGGAGAGCGUUCUAAGGGCGUUGAAGCAUGAUCGUAAGGACAUGUGGAGCGCUUAGAAGUGAGAAUGCCGGUGUGAGUAGCGAAAGACGGGUGAGAAUCCCGUCCACCGAUUGACUAAGGUUUCCAGAGGAAGGCUCGUCCGCUCUGGGUUAGUCGGGUCCUAAGCUGAGGCCGACAGGCGUAGGCGAUGGAUAACAGGUUGAUAUUCCUGUACCACCUAUAAUCGUUUUAAUCGAUGGGGGGACGCAGUAGGAUAGGCGAAGCGUGCGAUUGGAUUGCACGUCUAAGCAGUAAGGCUGAGUAUUAGGCAAAUCCGGUACUCGUUAAGGCUGAGCUGUGAUGGGGAGAAGACAUUGUGUCUUCGAGUCGUUGAUUUCACACUGCCGAGAAAAGCCUCUAGAUAGAAAAUAGGUGCCCGUACCGCAAACCGACACAGGUAGUCAAGAUGAGAAUUCUAAGGUGAGCGAGCGAACUCUCGUUAAGGAACUCGGCAAAAUGACCCCGUAACUUCGGGAGAAGGGGUGCUCUUUAGGGUUAACGCCCAGAAGAGCCGCAGUGAAUAGGCCCAAGCGACUGUUUAUCAAAAACACAGGUCUCUGCUAAACCGUAAGGUGAUGUAUAGGGGCUGACGCCUGCCCGGUGCUGGAAGGUUAAGAGGAGUGGUUAGCUUCUGCGAAGCUACGAAUCGAAGCCCCAGUAAACGGCGGCCGUAACUAUAACGGUCCUAAGGUAGCGAAAUUCCUUGUCGGGUAAGUUCCGACCCGCACGAAAGGCGUAACGAUUUGGGCACUGUCUCAACGAGAGACUCGGUGAAAUCAUAGUACCUGUGAAGAUGCAGGUUACCCGCGACAGGACGGAAAGACCCCGUGGAGCUUUACUGUAGCCUGAUAUUGAAAUUCGGCACAGCUUGUACAGGAUAGGUAGGAGCCUUUGAAACGUGAGCGCUAGCUUACGUGGAGGCGCUGGUGGGAUACUACCCUAGCUGUGUUGGCUUUCUAACCCGCACCACUUAUCGUGGUGGGAGACAGUGUCAGGCGGGCAGUUUGACUGGGGCGGUCGCCUCCUAAAAGGUAACGGAGGCGCUCAAAGGUUCCCUCAGAAUGGUUGGAAAUCAUUCAUAGAGUGUAAAGGCAUAAGGGAGCUUGACUGCGAGACCUACAAGUCGAGCAGGGUCGAAAGACGGACUUAGUGAUCCGGUGGUUCCGCAUGGAAGGGCCAUCGCUCAACGGAUAAAAGCUACCCCGGGGAUAACAGGCUUAUCUCCCCCAAGAGUUCACAUCGACGGGGAGGUUUGGCACCUCGAUGUCGGCUCAUCGCAUCCUGGGGCUGUAGUCGGUCCCAAGGGUUGGGCUGUUCGCCCAUUAAAGCGGUACGCGAGCUGGGUUCAGAACGUCGUGAGACAGUUCGGUCCCUAUCCGUCGUGGGCGUAGGAAAUUUGAGAGGAGCUGUCCUUAGUACGAGAGGACCGGGAUGGACAUACCUCUGGUGUACCAGUUGUCGUGCCAACGGCAUAGCUGGGUAGCUAUGUGUGGACGGGAUAAGUGCUGAAAGCAUCUAAGCAUGAAGCCCCCCUCAAGAUGAGAUUUCCCAACUUCGGUUAUAAGAUCCCUCAAAGAUGAUGAGGUUAAUAGGUUCGAGGUGGAAGCAUGGUGACAUGUGGAGCUGACGAAUACUAAUCGAUCGAAGACUUAAUCAA
Molecule: ribosomal RNA, 1914 nt
Filed under: Staphylococcus aureus
Lineage: Bacteria; Bacillati; Bacillota; Bacilli; Caryophanales; Staphylococcaceae
Description: 23S ribosomal RNA
Rfam family: Bacterial large subunit ribosomal RNA
Source: RNAcentral